This 76-nucleotide transfer RNA is filed under the name Pseudonocardia sp. 73-21. RNAcentral's name for it is "tRNA-Lys". It matches the Rfam family "tRNA". Rfam says of the family: Transfer RNA (tRNA) molecules are approximately 80 nucleotides in length. Their secondary structure includes four short double-helical elements and three loops (D, anti-codon, and T loops). Further hydrogen bonds mediate the characteristic L-shaped molecular structure. tRNAs have two regions of fundamental functional importance: the anti-codon, which is responsible for specific mRNA codon recognition, and the 3' end, to which the tRNAs corresponding amino acid is attached (by aminoacyl-tRNA synthetases). tRNAs cope with the degeneracy of the genetic code in two manners: having more than one tRNA (with a specific anti-codon) for a particular amino acid; and 'wobble' base-pairing, i.e. permitting non-standard base-pairing at the 3rd anti-codon position. Lineage: Bacteria; Bacillati; Actinomycetota; Actinomycetes; Pseudonocardiales; Pseudonocardiaceae. The record is from RNAcentral.
GCGCCGUUAGCUCAAUUGGCAGAGCAGUUGACUCUUAAUCAACGGGUUCGGGGUUCAAGUCCCUGACGGCGCACAA